AGGUGUGGAGCCCAACGCCUGCGAACAAGGCUCCUGACAUUAGGCCUCUGCAGAGAUGCAGCUCCAUACCCCCAGGAAGGCAGUGAUUUGCUCUGGGAAAACGUCCCAAGCCUGCUCAUUCUUUACGCAGAUGUCCUUCAGCCCUCAGAGGUAGCCCUUCUAGACCCUGUGCUCAAGACAGCUUGUGUGGGCCUCUCUGGUGGGGGUGCUGUGACUGCCCGAGGCCUGGCCGGCCCCCAACCGGCCUCAUCUCACUCAUGUUCCUCAGGCUGAGGGAUGGAGCCCAGGGAAUUGGUGGAUCUCUGAGCCUUCCAGUGACUCCUGGAUGUGGUGAGGCCCCUCUGCCUGCAGGCCAAGGUUGGGGUUCAGUGGGGGGCUCUGAGCACCUCAGAUCCCUUGCUCCCAUCAGUCUGUGGAAUAAUUAAUUUUCCUAGCUCAAGGCUUGGCCUUUGACUGGACUACAAGGAGCCUUAGGCAAGGAGCCUGCUCUGGGUGUCAGCACCCAGGUUCCAGCUUGAGAACCCACAGGAGCUCCCUUGUCCAACCCCGGAAGGGCCAGCUUCACCUGCAGGCUUCAGCAUUGCUGGCUCCGGUUCCUCAGCCCAUGUUUUCUUUGGCUUUGGGUCUCUGGGACACCAGAUUGUCCAAAACAAGAUGACUUCGUGAUACUCAUUUUCCCAAACAA
This is a long non-coding RNA of Aethalodelphis obliquidens (Pacific white-sided dolphin), 685 nucleotides long. RefSeq lists it as uncharacterized. Lineage: Eukaryota; Metazoa; Chordata; Mammalia; Artiodactyla; Delphinidae. The record is from RefSeq and is a predicted model, not a curated record. The transcript has 3 exons.